GGUGGCGUGUCCGAGCGGCCUAAGGAGCACGCCUCGAAAGCGUGUGUGGGUCCUGCCCACCGUGGGUUCAAAUCCCACCGCCACCG
Molecule: transfer RNA, 86 nt
Filed under: Propionibacterium sp.
Lineage: Bacteria; Bacillati; Actinomycetota; Actinomycetes; Propionibacteriales; Propionibacteriaceae
Also listed under: 1 other name
Description: tRNA-Ser
Rfam family: tRNA
About the family: Transfer RNA (tRNA) molecules are approximately 80 nucleotides in length.
Source: RNAcentral